This 103-nucleotide small nucleolar RNA is filed under the name Chlamydomonas reinhardtii. RNAcentral's name for it is "CrCD13d snoRNA". The record is from RNAcentral. Lineage: Eukaryota; Viridiplantae; Chlorophyta; Chlorophyceae; Chlamydomonadales; Chlamydomonadaceae.
CGGCCCUGAUGAAGCUUACCCGAAAGGGCAGUACAGUUGCGAGCGACGCCCCGCAAGGGCGCCGCGCUGAAGCAGCAUAAUUCCAAUGGAUCCUUCUGAGCCG